GAGCGGCGAACGGGUGAGUAACACGUGAGUAACCUGCCCCUGACUNUGGGAUAAGCCCGGGAAACUGGGUCUAAUACCGGAUACGACACCUCCCGGCAUCGGGUGGGUGUGGAAAGUUUUUUCGGUUGGGGAUGGACUCGCGGCCUAUCAGCUUGUUGGUGGGGUAACGGCCUACCAAGGCGACGACGGGUAGCCGGCCUGAGAGGGCGACCGGCCACACUGGGACUGAGACACGGCCCAGACUCCUACGGGAGGCAGCAGUGGGGAAUAUUGCGCAAUGGGCGAAAGCCUGACGCAGCGACGCCGCGUGGGGGAUGACGGCCUUCGGGUUGUAAACCUCUUUCAGCAGGGACGAAGUUGACGUGUACCUGCAGAAGAAGCGCCGGCUAACUACGUGCCAGCAGCCGCGGUAAUACGUAGGGCGCAAGCGUUGUCCGGAAUUAUUGGGCGUAAAGAGCUCGUAGGUGGCUUGUCACGUCGGGUGUGAAAGCUUGGGGCUUAACUCCAGGUCUGCAUUCGAUACGGGCUGGCUAGAGGUAGGUAGGGGAGAACGGAAUUCCU
Molecule: ribosomal RNA, 561 nt
Filed under: Streptosporangium sp. 343B12
Lineage: Bacteria; Bacillati; Actinomycetota; Actinomycetes; Streptosporangiales; Streptosporangiaceae
Description: bacterial SSU rRNA
Rfam family: Bacterial small subunit ribosomal RNA
Source: RNAcentral